AUCCAAUCAUUAAGAAAUCAGUUGGAAGAAUCGUGAAGAAGCAGUUGUGAGACCCCUUUUUCCUUCUUCCAAAACCCUUGGAGCUAAGAAAGAAAGAAUAAUAGGAAAGAGCUCCAAAAACCAGCUCACACAAAAACAUCACAAACCACUCGAAAACACCAUGAAAUUCAUCUUUUAAUCUCUGUAAGCUUACUCUCAAUUGUUGUCGAGUUAGAAGUGGUCCAGACGAUCGAGCUUCGGUCGGUGGUCUUAUUGUUGGUGUAAAGUUGCGAAUUACCCUUUGUUUUCCACCGAAUUGAGUUAAUUGAAGGAAUUUUGGCUAUAAAGGUACAUUUUAUUACAUCUUAGUUUACUCACUAGAUAUACAUUAUUUGAUGUUUAAAUGAUAGAUUUACAGAGAUUCAAGUUUAAUUAUUAAUAUUCACUGUGAGGUUUUUAGUUCUAGAAUGAUAUUGUCAUGAUUUCUUUAUUUUUCCUAGCAAUUAAUCCACUUUUAAACAUAAACUUAAGAGUGAAGUGACGUUCAUGAUGCUUUAUUUUGAUAAAUAUGAGUUGUUGGAUUUAUUAGAUAAUGGCAAAAAAACAAAAAAAAAAUGGAUUCAAAGCAUAUCCAGAACUCUAGUAAUUAUUAUUUGAUUGUAAAAUAAUGGUUAUAUUCAAAUAUUUGGUAGACUGAGAUGAAUUAACGUGGAGGUCUUAAGGCAUAAUUGGCGAAUAUAGUACAUUGCUCUUUCCUUCUAUUCUGUUUUGGUUAUUCCUGUGAUAUCUUUUAAUUACAAUAUUUGACAUUUUUGUCUUGUCGUUUGGUAUGAGAUACCUCUUAUAAUUUUGAACGUCGUCAUUGGGUUGUGGUUGUCUUUGAAAAAAAUCUGAUUUGGAUAUGUGAAUUUGGGUUAAUAUAUUUGUUUAAGGCUCGAGUCAUUAAUUUAAUGUGAGGAUUGGGGGAGAUAGAUUGCGAUUUUGUUCGAGACCUGUUAUAAUUGAGAAAAGAAAAGAGAGGAAAAAUCAAUUCGUAAGGAAGUGAGGCGAGUUACAAAUUAAUUCAAGACUUGUUGUAAAUUUGAAUAAAAAGGAGUGAAAAGAUAGAAUAAUGGAUAAAAAAAAAAUGGUCUCAAAUUUGCAAGAGACGAACAAAUACCUUUAAUGCUAGAUGAGCUUUAGUCACGAUAAAAAUCUAAUUUUGAUUGAGAAUGCGGUUACGUAUCUUUCUUGAUACGCGUAAUAACAAAUAAAGAAAUUUGAGGAUGAAGUCACGCACCUUGAUAAAGAUUGUCUCAAUAAUUAAGAAGACACAUAGAUAAAACCUCAUAAGUAUGAUGCGUUUGAGAGAAGAGCGCAGUUAUGUCUGAAAACUGAAUGUAUGUCAACACUUAGAAUGCAGUUAUGCAUCUAGGUCGAGACAUAAAGUUCAAAAUUAAAAAUGAGAAAAUCAAUGGCCCGUAACACAACUUACCAAAAAUAGUCAAAAGAUGAGUAUAAGUUGGUAAAAGUGGUCGUAUUAGAACCACGAGACUCAAGGAAUGCUUCAUACCUUUUUAUUUAUCAACAAAAUUCCUUAUCCGAUCUUUUUUUUUUGCAGAUAAAAAAUAAAGGGUAAUUUUUUUUUUGAUUAGAGAUUCAAAAAGAUGAUUUGGAACACCGUAACUCAAUUUCAAGUGGCGCUCUAUUCAAUAAAAUUAAUAUCUAUUCAUUAUUGUCACUAAAAUUGAAAAAAAACUUGUUCGAACCUUGCAUUUCGACCCAAAAAGAGGGUGCAACAUCUUUGGUAACUCUGCUGGGGACAACCAAAAUUCGAGUUUUAUGAUAUUAAAUUUUACAUGCUUUCAUUAUUUUGGAUAUGUUAUGUUUUGGGGUCGAAUAUGUUAUUUGUUGCUCAUUUAUCGCUUUGAUAUUGUUGAACUAUAUCAUAAACUGUCUUCUCUUGUGCACUCCUUCUAGGUCUUUGAAAUAUAGGGUAGAAGGAAUGCAGUUUGGCAUCCUACUUUUAUUUUGAGAUAAAGUCAAAAGUGUCUUGGCACUUGGUGAAGGAUUAUUAGUCACACAUAUUAAGCAAGAUUGGAUCAGCAACGAAGACGAAUAGCACUGCUACCAAACAAGUUACCCCUCCCUGACUCGAGGUGUUCACUCGAGUAAGCCAGUUUAGACACCUCUCUAUCAAGUUACAUCUAGUAGAACUGAAUUCCAUAUGUAGCUAUCCCUAUUAAUCUUCACAUUAUCUGCAUCAUGUGCAUUUGACUUAGCGGGACUCGACAUACGGGUCGGGUCUAUCUAAGACAAGUAGCCUAUUAAAGACCAACUUGUGCCACUACAAAAAAUGGGUCAAAUUGCGGGGGUUAAUUUUACAGUAAAACCCCCGCAAAUUUAGAUUCCGGUGGUUUCCAAAACCCACUACAAUACGAGCCGUCACAAUCAAUUUGCAGCAGUUUUUUUUUACUGCCUUAAUUUGCGGCGGUCAACCCCUGUUUCUUCAAAUUUAAUUCUUUUUAGAGAUAAUACCCAAUUACCCCCUGAACUAUACCCAAAAAAGGUAUGACACACCUCAACUUAAAGGGGAUCCUAUUACCCCUGAACUAAUUAAAAGUAUAAUUUUGAUACCCUUAGUGCCUACGUGAUACAUACAUGGCACAAUACACUGAAGUGUCCACGUAGGCAAACGUGAGUGCCACGUAUGUGCCAUGUAGGCACCACGUAGGCAUUAAGAGUGUCAAAAUUACACUUUUAAUUAGUUCAAGGGUAAUAAGACCUCCUUUAAGUUGAGGUUUGUCAUAACCUUUUUGGAUAUAGUUCAGAGGGACAAUUGGGUACUUUCUCUUCUUUUUACAAUAAAUUUUUAUUCAAGAAUUGCAGGGGUUUAAAACCUCCGCAAUUAUUCUUUUUUUUUUUAAAAUUUAAUGAGGCCCAUCAAUUUUCAAUAACUAAUUAUAGAUUCUAAUUUUAGCUCAAAUUUGAUUGUUCCUUUAGGCAUAACCUACAAUCCAAAAUUUGUUCAAUUCAUAUUAUCAUUAACACACCUUACUAGUUAAACAUUAUAAUUGACAAAUGACACUUUGGUAAAAUGACAUUAUAAUUAAACAAUACAGCGAAUCCACGACUCU
Molecule: long non-coding RNA, 3095 nt
Filed under: Capsicum annuum
Lineage: Eukaryota; Viridiplantae; Streptophyta; Magnoliopsida; Solanales; Solanaceae
Description: long non-coding RNA (CANN_LNC014513)
Source: RNAcentral